Molecule: ribosomal RNA, 253 nt
Filed under: uncultured bacterium
Lineage: Bacteria
Description: partial 16S ribosomal RNA
Rfam family: Bacterial small subunit ribosomal RNA
Source: RNAcentral
UACGAAGGGGGCUAGCGUUGUUCGGAAUUACUGGGCGUAACGCGAACGUAGGCGGUGUUCCAUGUCAGAGGUGAAAGCCUGGGGCUCAACUCCAGAAUUGCCUUUGAAACGGGAACGCUUGAGUCCGAGAGAGGAUGGCGGAAUUCCUAGUGUAGAGGUGAAAUUCGUAGAUAUUAGGAAGAACACCAGUGGCGAAGGCGGCCAUCUGGCUCGGUACUGACGCUCAGGUUCGAAAGCGUGGGGAGCAAACAGG